RNAcentral lists this ribosomal RNA (254 nucleotides) under uncultured bacterium. RNAcentral describes it as "partial 16S ribosomal RNA". It matches the Rfam family "Bacterial small subunit ribosomal RNA", at positions 524 to 776 of the family's 1533-position model. RNAcentral also lists the same sequence under 1 other name. The record is from RNAcentral.
CACGUAGGGGGCAAGCGUUGUCCGGAUUUAUUGGGCGUAAAGAGCUCGUAGGCGGUUCGGUAAGUCGGGUGUGAAACCUCCAGGCUCAACCUGGAGACGCCACCUGAUACUGCUGUGACUCGAGUCCGGUAGGGGAGCGUGGAAUUCCUGGUGUAGCGGUGAAAUGCGCAGAUAUCAGGAGGAACACCAGCGGCGAAGGCGGCGCUCUGGGCCGGAACUGACGCUGAGGAGCGAAAGCGUGGGUAGCAAACAGG